AUUGAACGCUGGCGGCAUGCCUUACACAUGCAAGUCGAACGGCAGCACGGGAGCAAUCCUGGUGGCGAGUGGCGAACGGGUGAGUAAUAUAUCGGAACGUGCCCGGUCGUGGGGAUAACGUAGCGAAAGCUACGCUAAUACCGCAUACGAUCUACGGAUGAAAGCGGGGGAUCGCAAGACCUCGCGCGAUUGGAGCGGCCGAUAUCAGAUUAGGUAGUUGGUGAGGUAAAAGCUCACCAAGCCGACGAUCUGUAGCUGGUCUGAGAGGACGACCAGCCACACUGGGACUGAGACACGGCCCAGACUCCUACGGGAGGCAGCAGUGGGGAAUUUUGGACAAUGGGCGCAAGCCUGAUCCAGCAAUGCCGCGUGCAGGAUGAAGGCCUUCGGGUUGU
RNAcentral lists this ribosomal RNA (395 nucleotides) under uncultured bacterium. RNAcentral's name for it is "bacterial SSU rRNA". It matches the Rfam family "Bacterial small subunit ribosomal RNA", at positions 30 to 426 of the family's 1533-position model. The record is from RNAcentral.